RNAcentral lists this ribosomal RNA (364 nucleotides) under Micromonospora chalcea. Its description in RNAcentral is "bacterial SSU rRNA". It matches the Rfam family "Bacterial small subunit ribosomal RNA", at positions 100 to 498 of the family's 1533-position model. The record is from RNAcentral. Lineage: Bacteria; Bacillati; Actinomycetota; Actinomycetes; Micromonosporales; Micromonosporaceae.
GAAGUUNUGACUGGCGUGGACAACCUCUCCCCGGCUUUGGGAUAACCGGGGAAACCGGUAAUACCGAAUGUGACCUUGCACCGGGUUUGGUGGAGAGUUUUUCGGCUUGGGAUGGGCUCGCGGCCUAUCAGGUUGUUGGUGGGGUGAUGGCCUACCAGGCGACGACGGGUAGCCGGUCUGAGAGGGCGACCGGCCACACUGGGACUGAGACACGGGCCAGACUCCUACGGGAGGGAGCGGUGGGGAAUAUUGCACAAUGGGCGGAAGCCUGAUGCAGCGACGCCGCGUGAGGGAUGACGGCCUUCGGGUUGUAAACCUCUUUCAGCAGGGACGAAGGACGGUACCUGCAGAAGAAGCGCCGGCC